UUUCCGGAUGAAUCCUAUUCAGACCUGUUCUGAUCCUUGUGGAGACAAACGAAUAUUGCCUUUUAUUUCUGAUU
This 74-nucleotide small nucleolar RNA is filed under the name Galerina marginata CBS 339.88. RNAcentral's name for it is "Small nucleolar RNA snR56". It matches the Rfam family "Small nucleolar RNA snR56". The record is from Rfam by way of RNAcentral. Lineage: Eukaryota; Fungi; Basidiomycota; Agaricomycetes; Agaricales; Galerinaceae.